Molecule: ribosomal RNA, 371 nt
Filed under: uncultured bacterium
Lineage: Bacteria
Description: partial 16S ribosomal RNA
Rfam family: Bacterial small subunit ribosomal RNA
Source: RNAcentral
CCUACGGGGGACUGCAGUGGGGAAUAUUGGGCAAUGGGCGCAAGCCUGACCCAGCAACGCCGCGUGAAGGAAGAAGGCUUUCGGGUUGUAAACUUCUUUUAAGAGGGAAGAGCAGAAGACGGUACCUCUUGAAUAAGCCAGGGCUAACUACGUGCCAGCAGCCGCGGUAAUACGUAGGUGGCAAGCGUUGUCCGGAUUUACUGGGUGUAAAGGGCGUGCAGCCGGGAAGACAAGUCAGAUGUGAAAUCCCGGGGCUCAACCGCGGAACUGCAUUUGAAACUGUUGUUCUUGAGUACCGGAGAGGUCAGCGGAAUUCCUGAUGUAGCGGUGAAAUGCGUAGAUAUAAGGAAGAACACCAGUGGCGAAGGCGG